Molecule: transfer RNA, 72 nt
Filed under: Blastopirellula marina
Lineage: Bacteria; Pseudomonadati; Planctomycetota; Planctomycetia; Pirellulales; Pirellulaceae
Description: tRNA-Lys
Rfam family: tRNA
About the family: Transfer RNA (tRNA) molecules are approximately 80 nucleotides in length. Their secondary structure includes four short double-helical elements and three loops (D, anti-codon, and T loops). Further hydrogen bonds mediate the characteristic L-shaped molecular structure. tRNAs have two regions of fundamental functional importance: the anti-codon, which is responsible for specific mRNA codon recognition, and the 3' end, to which the tRNAs corresponding amino acid is attached (by aminoacyl-tRNA synthetases). tRNAs cope with the degeneracy of the genetic code in two manners: having more than one tRNA (with a specific anti-codon) for a particular amino acid; and 'wobble' base-pairing, i.e. permitting non-standard base-pairing at the 3rd anti-codon position.
Source: RNAcentral
GAGGUCGUGGUGUAACGGCAGCACAUCAGACUUUUAAUCUGUUGGGAGUAGGUUCAAAUCCUACCGGCCUCA